UACAGAGGGGGCAAGCGUUAAUCGGAAUUACUGGGCGUAAAGUGUGCGCAGGCGGCCGCGCAAGUCGAGUGUGAAAGCCCCGAGCUUAACUUGGGAAUUGCGCUCGAAACUACGUGGCUGGAGUGUGGCAGAGGAAGGUGGAAUUCCAGGUGUAGCGGUGAAAUGCGUAGAGAUCUGGAGGAACACCGAUGGCGAAGGCAGCCUUCUGGGCCAGCACUGACACUGAAGCACGAAAGCGUGGGGAGCAAACAGG
RNAcentral lists this ribosomal RNA (253 nucleotides) under uncultured bacterium. Its description in RNAcentral is "partial 16S ribosomal RNA". It matches the Rfam family "Bacterial small subunit ribosomal RNA", at positions 524 to 776 of the family's 1533-position model. The record is from RNAcentral.